Molecule: ribosomal RNA, 465 nt
Filed under: uncultured bacterium
Lineage: Bacteria
Description: partial 16S ribosomal RNA
Rfam family: Bacterial small subunit ribosomal RNA
Source: RNAcentral
UAUGAACGCUGGCGGCGUGCUUAACACAUGCAAGUCGAACGGAAAGGCCCAAGCUUGCUUGGGUACUCGAGUGGCGAACGGGUGAGUAACACGUGGGUGAUCUGCCCUGCACUUCGGGAUAAGCCUGGGAAACUGGGUCUAAUACCGGAUAGGACCACAUUUUGGAUGGUGUGGUGGAAAGUUUUUCGGUGUGGGAUGAGCUCGCGGCCUAUCAGCUUGUUGGUGGGGUAAUGGCCUACCAAGGCGUCGACGGGUAGCCGGCCUGAGAGGGUGUACGGCCACAUUGGGACUGAGAUACGGCCCAGACUCCUACGGGAGGCAGCAGUGGGGAAUAUUGCACAAUGGGCGCAAGCCUGAUGCAGCGACGCCGCGUGGGGGAUGACGGCCUUCGGGUUGUAAACUCCUUUCGCUAGGGACGAAGCGCAAGUGACGGUACCUGGAGAAGAAGCACCGGCUAACUACGUG